Ictalurus punctatus (channel catfish) is the source of this 448-nucleotide long non-coding RNA. Lineage: Eukaryota; Metazoa; Chordata; Actinopteri; Siluriformes; Ictaluridae. The record is from Ensembl.
AUGUAGAGGUUAUGUAGAGGUUAGUUAUGUAGAGGUUAGUUAUGUAGAGGUUAUGUAGAGGUUAGUUAUGUAGAGGUUAUGUAGAGGUUAGUUAUGUAGAGGUUAGGUAUGUAGAGGUUAUGUAGAGGUUAGUUAUGUAGAGGUUAUGUAGAGGUUAGUUAUGUAGAGGUUAUGUAGAGGUUAGUUAUGCAGAGGUUAUGUAGAGGUUAUGUAGAGGUUAUGUAGAGGUUAUGUAGAGGUUAGUUAUGUAGAGGUUAUGUAGAGGUUAUGUAGAGGUUAUGUAGAGGUUAGUUAUGUAGAGGUUAUGUAGAGGUUAUGUAGAGGUUAUGUAGAGGUUAGUUAUGUAGAGGUUAUGUAGAGGUUAUGUAGAGGUUAGUUAUGUAGAGGUUAGUUAUGCAGAGGUUAUGUAGAUACAGGUUAUUUAGAUAAAGGUUAGUUAUUAGUCAUA